This 4832-nucleotide long non-coding RNA is filed under the name Marmota monax (woodchuck). The record is from RNAcentral. Lineage: Eukaryota; Metazoa; Chordata; Mammalia; Rodentia; Sciuridae.
CUCAGCCUUAUUCUUAUUCUUAUUUUCCAUUUCAUUCUCCAACUUUGGCGGGGGGGGGGCAAGAUUUGAAAGAGUACUGUUUUCUCAGUUGCGUGGUUGUAAGAAGGGAAAUUUCUUAUGGGAUCAGGGAUAUAAGGAAGCCAGCAUGGGACAGGAGGAUUUCAGGCUGUCUUGGGAAGUGUGAUUUGGGACAUAAAUUCUGGGAGAGGAAGUGGGAAGAGAAGGAGAUGAGCAACAAUGUCAUGUUUAGAAAUUUAUCUUUGGCCACAUUAUCCACUUUCCCAAAGCUUCACCCUAAACCCUUUUUUGAGAAAAUAACAAAAGGGCCGGCAGGCCCAGACUCUGGUUCUGUCCCAUCCUGACUUUGGAGUUUUAUAUUUGGAGGUCUUCCACUGAUUGGUCAUUAAUCCAGUGAGUUAUUGUCUGCUAAACAGAGGUCACUGGGAGAGAGACAUCCAAUCUGUCAGGAGAGAGUGUGCAGCCACUCCCAGGGUACGGGGCUCCUACUCCUCUCUUGCUUGCUUCUCCCUCCCUCUCCAGCACCCCACUCUCAGCUGUCCAAGAUUCACAGUCUCUCCUCCUCUGCCCUCUUCAAAAUCCCGCCCAGCUUUGUUUCUUCACUCCCGAGGGGUGGGGUUUGCCAGGCCUGGACAGAGCUUCUAGAUGAGGCGGGAUCCCUGAUUCAGAAUGGGAUCUUUCACCACCAAAGAGACAGCCUGCUCCUAUGUCACUCUGGCAGUGCCUUCCCCCCCAUUAACAUGUUCAGGCGUCCUCUGUGGUCACUGAGUAGACCUGGCAGACCUUUGCACCAUCCCGUUUCUUCCUGGAUCCAACUUGCAGCCUUGGCCUGAGAGCAGCAUACCCAUAUUUGGGGUAGGGUGGGGGGUACAGCUUGACUUUUUCUUCUCCGUGGAGGCCUUCCCCCAUUACCGCCUUGGAUGUGCGCUACUGCUGCGCAGCUCUCAGAGGCCUGGGUGGAGGUGCCAAAUCUUCUUCGGAUGCCCCUUUUUUCCUUCCCACUCUCAUUUUAGGGAGCUGUUGAUUGGGGAGACAAACACUAUCCCCCUACCUUUACAAUCCCCAGUGUUGAAAUCUUUAUUCAGAUUUAAGAGAGAGAAAUCACUAGGUGAGUAUGUUAACUUUAUACCACUCCACAAUAGCCACAACGUUGGCCAGUGAAGUUGGAAGAGAAUGUGGGACAGGAACCAGGAUAGGGUCAGCAAGAAGCAAAUCGCUAAAUGCCUUCCAAGGUCCAGCUUCAGAGAGCUGGGAGGCUGGGGGAUGGACCUGAGGAGUUUUCUGCUGUUGAGCUAGGGGCAGAAUCAUUGGCCGCUCCAAGGAUAAAACCAGAAACUAGUUUUAAAGAAGCCAGCCCCCCACCCCUUAUUGAGAAAAUUUUCGUUAGCUUUUUGAUGGAUUUUUUUGUGGGGGGGGGCGGAUAAGGGAAAAAGGCAUGAUCCCAUCCAGGUUCAUAAGGAUUGGCAGCCAGCAAUUGCUCACAGGGGUUCAUAGAGCUGCCUGUCUCCCAAUACUGGGUACUGAGUGGCCCAUGAGUGCCAGAGCCAGCGCUCUAAGCUCUGUGGAGAGGAAAGCAUGUCUAUGAUGGUGGACACAUUUCCUAAUCUUUACAUUAAUUAUUUUGUGCCUUUAUUAGUUUAUAUUAUUCUUUCUCUCAAAUUCUCUUUUCCAAUCUCUCUCUUUCUACCCCCCCCCCACUUUCUCUCUCUCUCACACACACACAGAUACCAAGUUUCCCUCCCUGAAUCCAAAAAGAAAUAAUUCUCCUUUUCUCUAUUUUGCCCUAAUCUCUCCUCCCUCCCCCUCUUUUCCCAGACCCCACUGUCUUUCCUCAGAUCUCGAGUUUCCCUACCCCAAUUUCCCUCCCCAAGCUCCUCAUUACUACCUUUGUCCCUAACCUGCAGUCACACUUCCAACGAAAUGGGUACCCUGAGGGCUGUGUGUUCCCUCCUCUAUCCACCCUCCAACUUCCGAGCCCCAAUCAGAGGCAACUGAACUGCUGGUUGGAAACCUCAGAGAAAGAAAGAAAAAAGGCAAGAAAGAAACCAGACUGGGAUCUCAUUGCCUCCCAAGCAUUCCAAAUGGGUGCUAUUCUGCAGAAUUGAUUUAGAAGCCCUUGCUCCAGCUCCUACCGCAUUUAGGGGUGUCUGUCCUCUGAAAGUUUCCCCGGGUUUGUUUCUUGUUCCCCAGUCCUCCUUUUCACUCCCAUCCUAGGAUGUCCCAUUGCCAGAGGGACCACAAAGGGUUGAGGAGGCUGGAAAGGGAAGGGUUCCUACUGUUGCAGUUUCCACCCUCAGAGCAACUCCAGGCCCUACUGCUUGCUCUUCACCAAGCCCCAUCUCCUCUCCUUGGCCGCAGCUGGCUGGGUGCCUUCCAGGCUCUCUUGUUAUUCCUUGAGGCAAAACUGUGCCGUCUGGAGAACAAUCAGGAGCACAAGUCCACAGUGAUUUUUUUUAGCCAGUGGUAAUACCUGUUAGAAGAGCUGAAAGAUCUGAAGUACAUUCUUUUUUUUUUGGGGGGGGGAGCAAGAGAAAAGAUCCCAGAGUACUUGUUCCCUUACUCCUUGGCCUGAGUCCCUGACCCACCAGGGCCCAAAGUUACUUGCUGUCUAACUGUGCUGAUUUCCAGUCAAGAUUUGUAGAUCUAAGAGCAGUUUCUUGCAGCCACAUACUCAGAUAGCCCUAAUAGGUCUCCUUAGAGGCAUCCUGGCUUGAACCCCAGUACUUCAUCAGGCUUGGGCAUUUUCUCCAUAUGAACACAGAAAAUGGCUCCCACCCUCAAUUUUACCCUAACUCCCAGUUGCCAAUGCUCUAGAAAGCCGCCAGCUCUCUAGGAAGGCUAUAGGAUCCUCAGGACAAAACAGUGAGGGCUCUGAAAGUGACUCUGUUGCUGGAGAGUAGGGAGGCCCACAGGUUCUCGCUGUUCCACAGGGCCCUAGGAAACUAGCUGCUCCAUCCCACCUGGCCUGACUUGGAGGGCCUGAAAAAGAGUGGGGACCAGAGUCUAGGGACCACCCCUUUCUCAUCCAUAAAGCAGAACUUGUGAGUGUGGAGUAAGAGGGUAUGAGGGAAGCAUUGGCAGAGUCAGAUAUAGCUACCUCUCCUGGAGGGGAGACAAUAGCUGGAAGUCAUCUCUCACCUUUGUUUUUCCCAGUCUCAUCGCCUGUCCUGGUGCAUCCAGAUGAGAGAAGGCAAAAGAAAAGUAUUUAACCAGGAAAUCACAGGAGGGUGGCAGGCUCUGUCUACACGAAGUUGAGAGAACCCGCUUCCGAGGCUGCCUUUGUAGAAGAGACUGCCUGCCCUCUAUUUUAUCCCCGAACCCCCGAGUCAGCAGUUAAAGAGAGUUGCAAACACUCCUGCUUGGGGAAAUGUCCUAGUGCUUUCAGUCUUUUUCCUUGGCUGAGAAUGGUUCAUCCCCACCCCCGCCUCAAAUCUGCAGACACCUACAUUUUUGGCUCCUGUCUUCCUCCUACAGGCCUCCCCCCUUGCCUUUUCCUGGCCUGUUCAAACACGCCCUAAGAAAACUUUAGCUUUUGUAGCCUUCCUCACUUGUGCCAAGAGUCGUAAAUCUUGCACAGCUGAGAGAGGAGAGAAACAAACAGGUUUGCUCAGAAUAAUAACAAAAACCAUCUUCCAUCUCUUCUGCAUGCACAUUUAAAAUGAAGCCCUGCUAGUUUUCAUAUUCUCAGAAGUACAAAUGUCCUUAUCACCUCUUAGCUCUUCUGCCUCUCUGGAGGUGAGAAUACUAACAGAAACUUCUCUGUGAAGUUCUUACAGCCCCUCUACUGCCAGCGGCACUGUCUGGAGUUCAAACUAAACUUCAGGGUCCUUCUUUUGUCACUCUCUCCUCAAACCCACACCCCCUGCAAGAUGUUCUGGGUUUUUAAAAUUGUCACUCACCGCUUAUUGUCUGUUCUAAAAAAAAAAAAAGGAGUGGGGAGGGGUAAUUUUUAAAAAGAAGGUCUGGCUUUACCCCCUCCCCUGUUAGAGACUGGGCCUAGAAAUUUGAGGGGAAAGGAAUAGAGAGGUUGUGGAAGGGAGAAGCGAAAAGUGGGAGACUAAGGAGGGAGUCAGAGGGAGAGAGGGCAGGAGACCUAGCCUCAGUCCAGGAGAAGUAAAACUACUUAAAAAAAAAAAAAAGUCCUGGUGUUCCAACUGUGAAUGAGUAUGGAGGGGCACCCAGCACCCUCAGGCCAGGCCAGUCUUUCACUAAGCCUCCAGAGGCCACUUCUCAAAUUAGCAUAAUGGUUCACUCUUGGGGUUUGGGGGGUAGCUUUGAACUCCACCAGCUCUCCUUCAUCUCUUCUUCCUCUCCCCUUCUCAAUUUAAAAAUCUACCUAUUCUUAAAAAAACAAGAACAAAACACUUCUACCUUCUUUCCUUCUCACUCUUUUUUUGGGGGGGGUAUUUAAAAUUCCCCCCUCCCCCAUCACCUUCUCUCCUUAUCAGGCAUCUAAGCUUGCUAAAGGGGGAGAGGUGGGGGUGUGUGUGAGCUUGUGUGUGAGUGAGAGAGUGUGUGUGUGUCUGUGUGGUUUUUUUUCCCUGUGCAAAAGCAGAGGCCAUUGUUACCGAGAGUAGGGCGUACCAGUCUUAUAGGGCAACCACACUGUGGCGGCUUGGCCGUGCCGGAGCCUGGAGCUGGAUUCUCGGCGAGGCGAGCCGCCCGGGCACCUUUCGGUCUUCUAUUUUUUUCCCCCCGCUCCCCCACCCCCUCCCUCUUGCGCACCCCCGCUCCUAAGCCGAGUGAAUUGAAGCGGACGCCGCGCGGCUCCUCUGGCCGGUCUGCCCCUCGGGCUCCCCAGCCGGGUGGCUUUG